This 1080-nucleotide long non-coding RNA is filed under the name Cricetulus griseus (Chinese hamster). RNAcentral describes it as "lncRNA (ENSCGRG00015029263.1)". The record is from RNAcentral. Lineage: Eukaryota; Metazoa; Chordata; Mammalia; Rodentia; Cricetidae.
UGAAUGGCUGGGAAAACCGAGGUUGGUGCAGAUCGGCCAAGGAUGAAGAGUCCAUGACGACUGUGUGCUGUCCACUUCUAGAACUUUCCCAGGUGCCGCCCUGUUACCGUUGCUGUGGCUGGCCUCAAACUUGUAAUCUUCUGGCCUCUUCUACCGAAGUACCUGGGUCUGCAGCCACUGUGUGCCGCCACACACGAGCUGCCCACUUUGCCGCUGUCCGAUGCAGCCCUGGCAGACCUGGUUGUUGCUGAAGCAAGGGCCUUUUGCCGGCUGCGCCCCAAUGGCGCAGCCAGGAUGGAGAGCCCAGCGGAAGAAGCUGAGGGCUUUCUGCUGAUCCCACAGUACUGCCGCCGCCGCCGAGUAGGAGUUUGGAAACAAGCGCCCUCACCUCCCAUCUCUGAUUUCCUUUUCCCUCUUGUACAAUUUACUGCUGACUGUGCGAUUGUUUGGCAAAUGAGCCUCGAUAGUGGCUUCAGCCUGUUGUCGUGAACCUGGCAGGCGGACCCCAGAUCUUGUUAAGCAACCCUUCUGUAGCCUCUAAUUGUGUCCCUAGAGAAACCUGGCUUGAGGGGAGGCAGGCGGGGGUGGGGGGCCUGGGGGGUCCAGGGUGCAGGCUGUGAGGAAGUAUUCCUUGCACGGGUCUGCAGAGUGGGUGCCACCCCUAGCCUUGGCGCCCACUAGAUCAAUGGCUGGUGGGAGGUAGGCCAGGAUAGCCCAGUCCCACUUCCUGCCUGUGCCAGGAGCAGCUCUCAUCCCUUACUGAGAGCCAAGCCAGAGCAUUAGCAGAUAGAGGCAUUAUUGUCCCCUUCCCAGGCCCUGGAAGCCGUUCUCACCCUGGAGAAAGGGACCGCUGUAGGAGGGCCUGAACGCUCUCUCUACCUUUGACACUGACUCAUGAUGAGAAACAGCAGGUGACCUGUCUCCUUGGGCCUCCAAGAAAACAUAUUUGUUUCACCAGUUCUGACUCAGCACUUGCAGCUCAUAGGGUAUUCGUGACUAUUACUGGUCUCAUUCAAGUCACAAGUGGCCCAACUGCCACACUGGAUGGAUGAGCCAGCAGCUCGGGGAUGGAAAGAGGGG